AGUGAACGCUGGCGGUAGGCCUAACACAUGCAAGUCGAACGGCAGCACAGUAAGAGCUUGCUCUUACGGGUGGCGAGUGGCGGACGGGUGAGGAAUACAUCGGAAUCUACUUUUUCGUGGGGGAUAACGUAGGGAAACUUACGCUAAUACCGCAUACGACCUACGGGUGAAAGCAGGGGAUCUUCGGACCUUGCGCGAUUGAAUGAGCCGAUGUCGGAUUAGCUAGUUGGCGGGGUAAAGGCCCACCAAGGCGACGAUCCGUAGCUGGUCUGAGAGGAUGAUCAGCCACACUGGAACUGAGACACGGCCCAGACUCCUACGGGAGGCAGCAGUGGGGAAUAUUGGACAAUGGGCGCAAGCCUGAUCCAGCCAUACCGCGUGGGUGAAGAGGGCCUUCGGGUUGUAAAGCCCUUUUGUUGGGAAAGAAAAGCAGCAGGUUAAUACCCCGCUGUUCUGACGGUACCCAAAGAAUAAGCACCGGCUAACUUCGUG
Molecule: ribosomal RNA, 492 nt
Filed under: uncultured bacterium
Lineage: Bacteria
Description: partial 16S ribosomal RNA
Rfam family: Bacterial small subunit ribosomal RNA
Source: RNAcentral